GUAGGAGCAGAGCAGCAGGAGCUAGAAUACGGUAAGGACUAUCCCCUCCAGGGAAAACCAUCUCCAGACAUCAAUAGCAGGCGGCCAACACACCCAUCAUCAAGGCAAACUUCUGUUGGUGAAGACCAGAGAUUUUGGUCUAAGCAAGUUGGCCGCCUGAGAUGAGAAUACACUAAGAUGAGGAAGAUGCUGCUGUAAUUAAGGCAACACGGAACCAGAUAUGCAGUGGCCACAAGCUGGGCUAUGGAUGUCCUUCCCCACUAGUGAAUAUUCAGUCUCUUUGGAAAGAAGUGGUUCCUCCUCUGCAGAGGAAAGUGUCACAACACAGGGCCUACGAGGGGGUCCAGCUGCUAUAACCUGAGAGUUACAACCCUAGCGCGUGGAUGAAGAGUUUUUCCGUCACUUCUUUGAGAAGCCACUUUGCCUUCGUGAUCCAUCUCCUUCCUCUGGUCUUUACUCAAAUUGCGUUUUCCAGCAUUGUUUGUUCUUUGUUUUGCGGAGAGCUUCUCCUGCUGCUUUUGUGUUGCAGCUCCUCCAUCCGCACCAGCCUUGUCCCUAACGAGGGGCUGUGGAGUGACUCUGCCUCAUUUAAUAAGACCCAAGAGAGACAAGAGGGAAGGAGAGAAAGGCUUCUUGUGCACACAGAAGGGAAGUCAUGCUGGAGCUGCAUGGCAGGAACAAAGAAGUGAUUCAUAACUGAGGCUGAGGAAGAGUGUGUGAAGGGAGAGGAAGGCAGGUAUUUUUCUUACUUGUUAAAGUGAGGAGUUAAUUUAAGUCAUUGAAAUCAAUUAUUCAUUUAACUUAUUUAUAUAACUUGUUAUUUUUUAAUGUUAAUGUGUUCAAUAACACUCCAGAAAUGGGCUAAAGGUCUUACAGCAAGCAGCUGCAGAGGCUGGAUACCCAAAACUUUUGUCACGUGCUGGCUUAGGCAGGUGGUGAGUGCUGUGGUCCCUGGAAGCCUAUAGGCAGGCUCUGGUGCCUGCACAGCCUCCUAGGGUGUUCAGAAGGCUGUGUUUAUGAGUUUUUUUAAGUAGCAAAAUUUCUUGUCCUCCCAUCACUGACAUUGGGAUGGAAGAGGAGAGGUUUAUUGGCAGUCAGUAGGGGUAAUGAAAAAUCAGAAUGAUGGCGAUUUAAGAAUCGGUUUUAUGGAAAGACAAAAAGACAUGGUAGCAUGUGCAUGCAUCAAGUGGUUAGAGGCAAAGGGCUUUACAUUGUGCUUGGUGUGAUGGGUUCGAUGUGCUUCAUAAAAAAGGUCGGUAUCAUUAUCUGCAUUAGCCAAAUAGGGAAACCGAGUCAGAGUAUGUGAUUUCCUUGCAUUUAACACUAAGUCAGUGCCAAUCACAUGAACUUACUUACACAGCAUGAGGUGCAUAGCAUGGUGAAGGACUGUCAAGUACAUAAUAUGUGCAAAUUUCUCAUAUCAGGAAUCAUCUGGACAGCACAGAGAAACAAUACUCACUUUAAUCAAAUAAAUGAGCUAAAAAUACAGUAGUUAUUAAAUGCUCCUUAAUGUUAUCUCCUGGACAAAAUUGUGCUAUUCUGUAAGAAGGAAACCACUUCUCUCCAGUCUAUUACACUUCUUUGUGUUGCUGCAGCAGAGUGGAGAAAAAACUAUCUUUCAAACGUUGCCAUCUGCAGCAAGGUUUUAAAUGGUCUCUUACAAACAUUCAUUGGGAGGUAAGCAGCUACAUGGGCAUCAGUCCUCUUACGAGGGAACGACUGAUAAACGUGUCAGGACAAGCUGAGUGGAGUGAUGCCCCAGCACCUGCCCCACUGCCAAGCCAAAAUAAUGAUUUAGAUUGCCAACAGUAUCAGCAAGGUAGCAAAUAAUUUUGGGAGACCCUUAGGUAGGCUACAUUUUUCCUGAAUGGAAAAAGGGGAGCAUUUAAACUACUUGUACGUGAAUUUGGUGUUAAAUUAAAUGUAGGUAGUCAGGAAAGGAAUAAGACAUCAUUGCCAACAGAACAUCUAUUCACCAAGAAGCAAUAGCCAGGGAAGCCAGCAGAAUGUUUGCUUGCAUUAGGAAAGGGCUAGCUGAUAGUACAAUAUUGUUUUGUAGCUUUUAUAUGAAGUGACACCUGGACAUGGACGCUUUGCUCAGUUUUGCUCUCCAGCCUUAAAGAAGGAUAGGGCAGAAAUAAAAAAAGGUCUAGGGAAGGCACUGAAAAUGAUGAACAGAAUGGAAAACUGCAGUGUGUGGAGAGAUUAAAAGAUUAGAACCAUAUAUCCUAGAUGUUAGAGGAAUAAGG
Long non-coding RNA from Cairina moschata (Muscovy duck), 2249 nucleotides. Lineage: Eukaryota; Metazoa; Chordata; Aves; Anseriformes; Anatidae. The record is from Ensembl.